GACGAACGCUGGCGGCGUGCUUAACACAUGCAAGUCGAACGGAAAGGCCCUGCUUGCAGGGUGCUCGAGUGGCGAACGGGUGAGUAACACGUGGGUGAUCUGCCCCUUACUUUGGGAUAAGCCUGGGAAACUGGGUCUAAUACUGGAUAGGACCAUGCUGUAGGUGGUGUGGUGGAAAGAUUAGUUUCGGUAAGGGAUGAGCUCGCGGCCUAUCAGCUUGUUGGUGGGGUAAUGGCCUACCAAGGCGUCGACGGGUAGCCGGCCUGAGAGGGUGGACGGCCACAUUGGGACUGAGACACGGCCCAGACUCCUACGGGAGGCAGCAGUGGGGAAUAUUGCACAAUGGGCGCAAGCCUGAUGCAGCGACGCCGCGUGGGGGAUGACGGCCUUCGGGUUGUGAACUCCGUUCAGCCAUGACGAAGCCCUUGUGGUGACGGUAGUGGUAGAAGAAGCACCGGCUAACUACGUG
This 469-nucleotide ribosomal RNA is filed under the name uncultured bacterium. RNAcentral describes it as "partial 16S ribosomal RNA". It matches the Rfam family "Bacterial small subunit ribosomal RNA", at positions 28 to 507 of the family's 1533-position model. The record is from RNAcentral.